RNAcentral lists this ribosomal RNA (539 nucleotides) under Candida albicans. RNAcentral's name for it is "eukaryotic LSU rRNA". The stretch from base 137 to 290 matches the Rfam family "5.8S ribosomal RNA". Lineage: Eukaryota; Fungi; Ascomycota; Pichiomycetes; Serinales; Debaryomycetaceae. The record is from RNAcentral.
GAAGUGCUUAUUGCCCACAUGUGUUUUUCUUUGAAACAAACUUGCUUUGGCGGUGGGCCCAGCCUGCCGCCAGAGGUCUAAACUUACAACCAAUUUUUUAUCAACUUGUCACACCAGAUUAUUACUUAAUAGUCAAAACUUUCAACAACGGAUCUCUUGGUUCUCGCAUCGAUGAAGAACGCAGCGAAAUGCGAUACGUAAUAUGAAUUGCAGAUAUUCGUGAAUCAUCGAAUCUUUGAACGCACAUUGCGCCCUCUGGUAUUCCGGAGGGCAUGCCUGUUUGAGCGUCGUUUCUCCCUCAAACCGCUGGGUUUGGUGUUGAGCAAUACGACUUGGGUUUGCUUGAAAGACGGUAGUGGUAAGGCGGGAUCGCUUUGACAAUGGCUUAGGUCUAACCAAAAACAUUGCUUGCGGCGGUAACGUCUACCACGUAUAUCUUCAAACUUUGACCUCAAAUCAGGUAGGACUACCCGCUGAACUUAAGCAUAUCAUAAGGCGGGAGGAAGUAGGGAUACCCGCUGAACUUAAGCAUAUCAAUA